RNAcentral lists this long non-coding RNA (720 nucleotides) under Homo sapiens (human). RNAcentral describes it as "PREDICTED lncRNA (TCONS_00227648)". Lineage: Eukaryota; Metazoa; Chordata; Mammalia; Primates; Hominidae. The record is from RNAcentral.
GUUUCACUGUGUUAGCCAGGAUGGUCUUGAUCUCCUGACCUCGUGAUCCACCUGCCUCGGCCUCCCAAAGUGCUGGGAUUACAGGCGUGAGCCACUGCGCCUGGCCUCUACUUCUCAGACGAGGGCCUCACUCUGUCACUCAGGCUGGAGUGAAGUGGUGCAAUCACAGUUCACUGAAACCUUGAACUCCUGGGUACAAGGAAUCCUCCUGUCUGGAACUACAGGCACAAGAUGAUUUUUCACCUAGUGGAGUCAUUGAACAGUGGUCUUCAAAUUGGGAUUAUUUCCAAGAAUAGAUUAAAAUGCCAUGAAAAAGAAAAAAUUAUAGAAAAGCAAAAAGAGCUGAAUGCAGUGAAUGAACAUCUGUGAAUGAAGUUGAGAAGGUAUAUGUGGGGCAGACUAGAAUUGCAGUGCACAGAUACAAGAAUGUUGCCUGCUUUGGAGCCAAGACUGCCUUCCGGAUAAAGGGCCCACAGAGAGCUGAGAGCUGUGUAAUACCUCAAAGACUGAAGAAAAGAGUUAGACAGCCAUCUUUCCUUAGAGGAUUUUGCUGCAGACAGCUUGAACUACCAGAAGGUUAUAUACUGACCAUGGGUAGAGUAAGGAAGAAAUACAUCCUUCGGAAAGGACAAUGAAGAUCUUUACAGCAGGAGAUGGAGUCUCAGUCUUUUGCCCUGGCUGGGGUACAAUGCCAUGAUCACAGCUCACUGCAGUCUGGAG